ACGACCUCCGCGUCCAUCUGCACCUCCGCCACCCGUCUCCCCCGCGUCCGCCUCCGCCUCCGCCUCCGCCACCAUCGCGCGGUCAUCGGACUCUCGGUGCCUCUCGGCAGCCUGAUAAAUGGAAGGACACGCUGUCGUUUCGGACUGAUAACCAGACACAAUACGCCAAUGCGGCAACCAUGGAGGUCCCCCAGGCUUGGCCGUGGGCCGCCUCUACAACUCUCCCUCCCUCUCUCUCGAGACAAGCGGAUCUGCGACAAAGGGGAGACCCUCGGUCGGCACAUCGGCAAAGAGACACUCGGGGGGGUGGAGUGGGCCGUGGGAGGGUGGCGAGGAGGGGGACGACGGCGCCAUUGCGACGCAGCGAGGAGAUGAGACAUGCCACAGGUGAAAUUUGAUGGUGAAUUUGCCUCUCCACUUUGGCAUUGUCCUCUCCAUCUUUUAGGAACCGGAGGCAUCCCAUGAUCACUGAAACUAGGGGAUUCUGGCCAAAUUCCUGUGAAGGGACCUCACCCUCUGCAUUGGUGGACAAGCCCAUGAAAUCCCAAGAAUGGGUAGUGCACAAUCUCCUCUUUGUGUUUGGGAACACUGAGACGACACCAGGCAUCUCUGAUGAAGAAAUGCACAUCAGAAUUAGGCUUUUCGCAUCACUGCCAUCACAGGUGGACUCAUUUCAUGGCUUGCCUUUUGUUCAUUGUGCUACAUACAUACAACAUACUCUAGAAACCAUGUGUUGUGAAAUUACCGGCUAAUUCCAUGGCUUGCCUUUUGUUCAGUUUGGCGGCGAAUCCUUGGAAACCGCUGCUGUAAGUGUAGACGUGUGAUGCCUGCGCCUUCUCGGAGCUGUGAAGAGGAAGAAGCAUCCACUCAAGAUACUGUGUGUAACAGCACUGGAAGCUAGAGGGGGUAUGGACAGCUAAGGAAUGAAAACGAAUUUGUUAUGGACCUUCCAUCGUGAACAGCAGUCAGCAUCUGGUGGUGAAGCCUCAAGAUGUCGUCAUGCUGACGAUCACUCUCGCCCUGCUGCGGCCCUUUGCCCAUGUAAACCACAUACACCUGAAGUUGGCAUCCAUUUGGAAAGGGUUACAGCACUGGAAGACCUCAAGAAAGAAGUGGCGGCUCAUGAAGCGCAGAAGAGUUAACUACAGUGGAGAUAAUCCAACAAAGUAGCAGUGGUGUGCACUGGAGCUGGUAGAGUACUGAUUGUACCGAAACAAACCUGGGAACAAGAGCAGCAGCGAAGGUCGCCUAGUAGCACGAGGGAUAGCGUGAGGAAGAACAUGGCUCUGCCUGGAGAAGAAGCCAUGACAGACAGGCAGCCACACACAGGGAUGCACAGCGCAGCGCAGAUACAAAGGGAAGGACUGCGGUUUGGAGGGCAAGUGUGUAUGAGACCAGUUGUAUGAAAGCAGGCAAAGCAGCUGCUUCCUGAAACUUCUGCUAAGUUACUGGUGGAUGCGUGGGAAAAUAAAGCCUGUACUGGAAUCCCGGAGGAAUGGAAUUGGGUGGCCGUUAACUGCACUUUUCCUCGUCCGUGCCACUAGCAAUCGCAGGCAAGAUGGCAACAAGAGUUCAUAAAUAAUGCAGACAAAGAUGUCCAAAGCGUCAUGAUGCGGUAUGGGAACCAAGAAAGCUCAGCUAGUGAUCUAGACUGAGAGCAUGACAAAUAGGGUAUCCAAUCUCGGAGAUACAAAGAACAUGUAGAAUGGCUGCUUUCGUGAAUAAUAAUACCUGUAGAUAUGAAGUAUAA
Sorghum bicolor (sorghum) is the source of this 1750-nucleotide long non-coding RNA. RefSeq lists it as uncharacterized. The record is from RefSeq and is a predicted model, not a curated record. The transcript is spliced from 3 exons. Lineage: Eukaryota; Viridiplantae; Streptophyta; Magnoliopsida; Poales; Poaceae.